Molecule: ribosomal RNA, 528 nt
Filed under: marine sediment bacterium ISA-3234
Lineage: Bacteria
Description: bacterial SSU rRNA
Rfam family: Bacterial small subunit ribosomal RNA
Source: RNAcentral
AGAGUUUGAUNNUGGCUCAGAUUGAACGCUGGCGGCAGGCCUAACACAUGCAAAGUCGAGCGGCAGCACAAGGGAGUUUACCUCUGAGGUGGCGAGCGGCGGACGGUUGAGUAAUGCCUAGGGAUCUGCCCAGUCGAGGGAUAACAGUUGGAAACGACUGCUAAUACCGCAUACGCCCUACGAAGGAAAGGAGGGGACCUUCGGGCCUUCCGCGAUUGGAUGAACCUAGGUGGGAUUAGCUAGUUGGUGAGGUAAUGGCUCACCAAGGCGACGAUCCCUAGCUGUUCUGAGAGGAUGAUCAGCCACACUGGGACUGAGACACGGCCCAGACUCCUACGGGAGGCAGCAGUGGGGAAUAUUGCACAAUGGGGGAAACCCUGAUGCAGCCAUGCCGCGUGUGUGAAGAAGGCCUUCGGGUUGUAAAGCACUUUCAGUAGGGAGGAAAGGGUGUAGCUUAAUACGCUAUAUCUGUGACGUUACCUACAGAAGAAGGACCGGCUAACUCCGUGCCAGCAGCCGCGGUAAUAC